GAUGAACGCUGGCGGCGUGCCUAAUACAUGCAAGUCGAGCGAACAGAUAAGGAGCUUGCUCCUUUGACGUUAGCGGCGGACGGGUGAGUAACACGUGGGUAACCUACCUAUAAGACUGGAAUAACUCCGGGAAACCGGGGCUAAUGCCGGAUAAUAUUUAGAACCGCAUGGUUCUAAAGUGAAAGAUGGUUUUACUAUCACUUAUAGAUGGACCCGCGCCGUAUUAGCUAGUUGGUGGGGUAAUGGCUUACCAAGGCAACGAUACGUAGCCGACCUGAGAGGGUGAUCGGCCACACUGGAACUGAGACACGGUCCAGACUCCUACGGGAGGCAGCAGUAGGGAAUCUUCCGCAAUGGGCGAAAGCCUGACGGAGCAACGCCGCGUGAGUGAUGAAGGUCUUCGGAUCGUAAAACUCUGUUAUUAGGGAAGAACAAAUGUGUAAGUAACUGUGCACGUCUUGACGGUACCUAAUCAGAAAGCCACGGGUAACUACGUGCCAGCA
This 503-nucleotide ribosomal RNA is filed under the name uncultured bacterium. Its description in RNAcentral is "bacterial SSU rRNA". It matches the Rfam family "Bacterial small subunit ribosomal RNA", at positions 28 to 513 of the family's 1533-position model. The record is from RNAcentral.